Triticum aestivum (bread wheat) is the source of this 109-nucleotide non-coding RNA. The record is from Rfam. Lineage: Eukaryota; Viridiplantae; Streptophyta; Magnoliopsida; Poales; Poaceae.
UUCCUACUCCCUCCGUUCGGAAUUACUUGUCGCGGAAAUGGAUGUAUCUAGCGGACCGCUAGAUACAUCCAUUUCCGCGACAAGUAAUCCCGAACAGAGGGAGUAGUUU